AUUGAACGCUGGCGGCAGGCCUAACACAUGCAAGACGAACGGUAACAGGAAGAAGCUUGCUUCUUUGCUGACGAGUGGCGGACGGGUGAGUAAUGUCUGGGAAACUGCCUGAUGGAGGGGGAUAACUACUGGAAACGGUAGCUAAUACCGCAUAACGUCGCAAGACCAAAGAGGGGGACCUUCGGGCCUCUUGCCAUCGGAUGUGCCCAGAUGGGAUUAGCUAGUAGGUGGGGUAACGGCUCACCUAGGCGACGAUCCCUAGCUGGUCUGAGAGGAUGACCAGCCACACUGGAACUGAGACACGGUCCAGACUCCUACGGGAGGCAGCAGUGGGGAAUAUUGCACAAAGGGCGCAAGCCUGAUGCAGCCAUGCCGCGUGUAUGAAGAAGGCCUUCGGGUUGUAAAGUACUUUCAGCGGGGAGGAAGGGAGUAAAGUUAAUACCUUUACUCAUUGACGUUACCCGCAGAAGAAGCACCGGCUAACUCCGUG
RNAcentral lists this ribosomal RNA (490 nucleotides) under uncultured bacterium. RNAcentral describes it as "partial 16S ribosomal RNA". It matches the Rfam family "Bacterial small subunit ribosomal RNA", at positions 30 to 507 of the family's 1533-position model. The record is from RNAcentral.